AUCUUCUCGAUGAGCAAACACUAGCGGUUCAGCAAACAAUAACUUGUGAGGGGGAAUAAAAUCUAGGUCUUGUGUCCUUUCUUGUUAUAUAUAUAUAUAUAUAUAUAUAUAUAUAUAUAUAAUUAUACGUCCUAUAAUUGCUAUUUGAUAGAUGGAAUAAUUUGAUUUAGUUUCUGUGUUUAUCCACCAUCUAAUACAACUUCUUCCCCACUGGCUUUGCCAAGGAGCAGAAUUUGGCUUCUUUCAGUCAUGCAGUCUGUGUUGCACUCUCAUGCAGUAUGAAUUAUUAGGAGAAGCUAUUUCUGGGAGCAUCUGCUACUUGGAAAUUGAGCUAGGAACAAAAUAGCCUUGUGUAUUACUGGGGCUGAGGAGAAUGAGCCAUAUAGUUCUGGAAAGACUAGUACAGUGGUACCUCGGGUUACAUACGCUUCAGGUUACAGACUCCACUAACCCAGAAAUAGUUCCUCGGGUUAAGAACUUUACCUCAGGAUGAGAACAGAAAUUGUGCUCCGGCGGUGCAGCGGCAGCAGGAGGCCCCAUUAGCUAAAGUUAAGAACAGUUUCAGGUUAAGAACGGACCUCCGGAACAAAUUAAGUAUUUAACCCGAGGUACCACUGUACUGGAGUACUAGUACUCCUUUUGCAACAGUACUGUAUGGAAGAUGGAGAAGUGCAGAUGAAGAAAAUCUAGUUUAGCCUUGCAAGAGAGUGUUUAAAAAUGUGUCCUUGAUCAAAGGUUUACUCUUCUGCUGUGGCAUUUAGUGAUCUCUCUCCCUUUUUAAAACUUCUUAGAUGUUGUCUCUGAACCUGAAAAACCUAUGUCAAGAGCUUCAGAUAAUACAGUCUCCAUGUGUAGAAUCUCUGUGCCCUCCAGGACCUCCUGGGCCACAGGGCCCGCAAGGCGUUCCUGGUGUGAAGGGACCAAAGGGGGAAAAAGUAAGUGCCAGGGUUCGUUUUUGAACUGUGAUAUGCAUUAGAUGUAAGGUCAUUUCGGACCUUUAGAUUAAUUACCAGGACUGGUAUCAGGUUUGAGGCAAGGUUCCCACCCAGCAAUCCCCUAGUGGCAUCCCCCAGUGGCAUUUUCCCAGAGGCAUUCUGGGAAAAUUAAGAUGCUUUGCUUGAAUCUUUUUGUUAUGUACUGAGCUGAAUCCUAGAACAAUAGGAUCCAGAAUGCAGCAGUCUGAUUGGUCUGCAGGAGCCACCCAAUCCAGCUCCUAGUGGAAGUGAGUCAGCAACCUGAUUGGCCUGCAGGAGCAGCCAAUCAGGCUCCUGGAUGAAGUGAAUCAGCAACCUGAUUGGCCUGCAGGAGCAGCCAAUCAGGCUCCUGGAUGAAGUGAAUCCAUAACCUGAUUGGCCUACAGGAGCAGCCCAGAAUUAGCCAAUCACGCGGGGCCCAUUGUGUAAAUAAUAUAUAUAUAGCUA
Molecule: long non-coding RNA, 1421 nt
Filed under: Podarcis muralis (Common wall lizard)
Lineage: Eukaryota; Metazoa; Chordata; Lepidosauria; Squamata; Lacertidae
Description: lncRNA (ENSPMRG00000020118.1)
Source: RNAcentral